UGGCGUGGGGGGGGGGGCUUACACAUGCAAGUCGAACGAUGAAGCCGGAGCUUGCUCUGGUGGAUUAGUGGCGAACGGGUGAGUAACACGUGAGCAACCUGCCCUGGACUCUGGGAUAAGCGCUGGAAACGGCGUCUAAUACUGGAUACGAGACGUGGCCGCAUGGUCAACGUUUGGAAAGAUUUUUCGGUCUGGGAUGGGCUCGCGGCCUAUCAGCUUGUUGGUGAGGUAAUGGCUCACCAAGGCGUCGACGGGUAGCCGGCCUGAGAGGGUGACCGGCCACACUGGGACUGAGACACGGCCCAGACUCCUACGGGAGGCAGCAGUGGGGAAUAUUGCACAAUGGGCGGAAGCCUGAUGCAGCAACGCCGCGUGAGGGAUGACGGCCUUCGGGUUGUAAACCUCUUUUAGCAGGGAAGAAGCGAAAGUGACGGUACCUGCAGAAAAAGCGCCGGCUAACUACGUGCCAGCAGCCGCGGUAAUACGUAGGGCGCAAGCGUUAUCCGGAAUUAUUGGGCGUAAAGAGCUCGUAGGCGGUUUGUCGCGUCUGCUGUGAAAUCCCGAGGCUCAACCUCGGGCCUGCAGUGGGUACGGGCAGACUAGAGUGCGGUAGGGGAGAUUGGAAUUCCUGGUGUAGCGGUGGAAUGCGCAGAUAUCAGGAGGAACACCGAUGGCGAAGGCAGAUCUCUGGGCCGUAACUGACGCUGAGGAGCGAAAGGGUGGGGAGCAAACAGGCUUAGAUACCCUGGUAGUCCACCCCGUAAACGUUGGGAACUAGUUGUGGGGUCCUUUCCACGGAUUCCGUGACGCAGCUAACGCAUUAAGUUCCCCGCCUGGGGAGUACGGCCGCAAGGCUAAAACUCAAAGGAAUUGACGGGGACCCGCACAAGCGGCGGAGCAUGCGGAUUAAUUCGAUGCAACGCGAAGAACCUUACCAAGGCUUGACAUACACGAGAACGGGCCAGAAAUGGUCAACUCUUUGGACACUCGUGAACAGGUG
RNAcentral lists this ribosomal RNA (1000 nucleotides) under Microbacterium sp. HBUM178196. RNAcentral describes it as "bacterial SSU rRNA". It matches the Rfam family "Bacterial small subunit ribosomal RNA", at positions 31 to 1040 of the family's 1533-position model. Lineage: Bacteria; Bacillati; Actinomycetota; Actinomycetes; Micrococcales; Microbacteriaceae. The record is from RNAcentral.